GAUGAACGCUGGCGGCGUGCCUAAUACAUGCAAGUCGAGCGAACGGACGAGAAGCUUGCUUUUCUGAUGUUAGCGGCGGACGGGUGAGUAACACGUGGAUAACCUACCUAUAAGACUGGGAUAACUUCGGGAAACCGGAGCUAAUACCGGAUAAUAUUUUGAACCGCAUGGUUCAAAAGUGAAAGACGGUCUUGCUGUCACUUAUAGAUGGAUCCGCGCUGCAUUAGCUAGUUGGUAAGGUAACGGCUUACCAAGGCAACGAUGCAUAGCCGACCUGAGAGGGUGAUCGGCCACACUGGAACUGAGACACGGUCCAGACUCCUACGGGAGGCAGCAGUAGGGAAUCUUCCGCAAUGGGCGAAAGCCUGACGGAGCAACGCCGCGUGAGUGAUGAAGGUCUUCGGAUCGUAAAACUCUGUUAUUAGGGAAGAACAUAUGUGUAAGUAACUGUGCACAUCUUGACGGUACCUAAUCAGAAAGCCACGGCUAACUACGUGCCAGCAGCCGCGGUAAUACGUAGGUGGCAAGCGUUAUCCGGAAUUAUUGGGCGUAAAGCGCGCGUAGGCGGUUUUUUAAGUCUGAUGUGAAAGCCCACGGCUCAACCGUGGAGGGUCAUUGGAAACUGGAAAACUUGAGUGCAGAAGAGGAAAGUGGAAUUCCAUGUGUAGCGGUGAAAUGCGCAGAGAUGUGGAGGAACACCAGUGGCGAAGGCGACUUUCUGGUCUGUAACUGACGCUGAUGUGCGAAAGCGUGGGGAUCAAACAGGAUUAGAUACCCUGGUAGUCCACGCCGUAAACGAUGAGUGCUAAGUGUUAGGGGGUUUCCGCCCCUUAGUGCUGCAGCUAACGCAUUAAGCACUCCGCCUGGGGAGUACGACCGCAAGGUUGAAACUCAAAGGAAUUGACGGGGGCCCGCACAAGCGGUGGAGCAUGUGGUUUAAUUCGAAGCAACGCGAAGAACCUUACCAAAUCUUGACAUCUUUUGACAACUCUAGAGAUAGAGCCUUCCCCUUCGGGGGACAAAGUGACAGGUGGUGCAUGGUUGUCGUCAGCUCGUGUCGUGAGAUGUUGGGUUAAGUCCCGCAACGAGCGCAACCCUUAAGCUUAGUUGCCAUCAUUAAGUUGGGCACUCUAAGUUGACUGCCGGUGACAAACCGGAGGAAGGUGGGGAUGACGUCAAAUCAUCAUGCCCCUUAUGAUUUGGGCUACACACGUGCUACAAUGGACAAUACAAAGGGCAGCGAAACCGCGAGGUCAAGCAAAUCCCAUAAAGUUGUUCUCAGUUCGGAUUGUAGUCUGCAACUCGACUACAUGAAGCUGGAAUCGCUAGUAAUCGUAGAUCAGCAUGCUACGGUGAAUACGUUCCCGGGUCU
RNAcentral lists this ribosomal RNA (1372 nucleotides) under uncultured bacterium. Its description in RNAcentral is "bacterial SSU rRNA". It matches the Rfam family "Bacterial small subunit ribosomal RNA", at positions 28 to 1381 of the family's 1533-position model. The record is from RNAcentral.